AGCGGCGAACGGGUGAGGAAUGCAUGGGUAACCUACCCUAGAGUGGGGAAUAACUAGCCGAAAGGUUAGCUAAUACCGCAUACGAUUCCCGGACUUCGGUUCGGGAGGGAAAGCGAUACCGUGGGUAUCGCGCUCUUGGAUGGGCUCAUGUCCUAUCAGCUUGUUGGUGAGGUAAUGGCUCACCAAGGCUUCGACGGGUAGCUGGUCUGAGAGGACGAUCAGCCACACUGGCACUGCGACACGGGCCAGACUCCUACGGGAGGCAGCAGUAAGGAAUAUUGCGCAAUGGACGAAAGUCUGACGCAGCGACGCCGCGUGGGGGAUGAAGGUCUUCGGAUUGUAAACCCCUUUCGGCAGGGAAGAUGGAACGGGUAACCGUUCGGACGGUACCUGCAGAAGCAGCCACGGCUAACUUCGUGCCAGCAGCCGCGGUAAUACGAAGGUGGCAAGCGUUGUUCGGAUUCACUGGGCGUACAGGGAGCGUAGGCGGUUGGGUAAGCCCUCCGUGAAAUCUCCGGGCCUAACCCGGAAAGUGCAGAGGGGACUGCUCGGCUAGAGGAUGGGAGAGGAGCGCGGAAUUCCCGGUGUAGCGGUGAAAUGCGUAGAGAUCGGGAGGAAGGCCGGUGGCGAAGGCGGCGCUCUGGAACAUUUCUGACGCUGAGGCUCGAAAGCGUGGGGAGCAAACAGGAUUAGAUACCCUGGUAGUCCACGCCUUAAACUAUGGAUACUAAG
Molecule: ribosomal RNA, 732 nt
Filed under: uncultured bacterium
Lineage: Bacteria
Description: bacterial SSU rRNA
Rfam family: Bacterial small subunit ribosomal RNA
Source: RNAcentral